Oreochromis niloticus (Nile tilapia) is the source of this 725-nucleotide long non-coding RNA. RefSeq lists it as uncharacterized. The transcript has 2 exons. Lineage: Eukaryota; Metazoa; Chordata; Actinopteri; Cichliformes; Cichlidae. The record is from RefSeq and is a predicted model, not a curated record.
CGGACACUAAUGUUUUUGUCACUUUUUAUGGAAUCAAACUCAAAAUAAGGCAGCAGCUGCUCUCUAACAGAAGAGGAAGGGAGGACACCCUGACUUAUUUUUAUGAAAACUGCCCACUGGCUUUUUUUUCCUCCCACCAAUCAGGAUGGAAACACCCCACAGUUGAGUUCAGCAAGCUCGCCAACUUCAAAGAUUUCAGGGAUGUUUUCCAUUUUCCUGUGAGGUGCAUUGCUCUUCAUAAUUAUUUCAAACCACUGUACACCCUGUGCAUUAAACAGACCAUAAAAAUGCAAGUUAAGCAGGUAUUCCAGACUUUGUCCUCCCCAGCAACGUUUUCCAGUUCUUCCUGGGGAUCCCGAGGUGCUUCCAGGCUCCUUUAGAGGGCCAGCUGAUAGUUCAAGACAUGCUAAUCUUAAAAAGAUACAAGACAGACUGAGGAUAAUGGAACAUGGUGGUAUUUUAUUUUAAAAAAUCUAUAUUAAAAUAAAUGAGCGAUGCAAAAUUUAAACAGCCAUAAUUUUACACAGUAGCAGUGUCACUCCCCACCGUCCUCUGCCAGCCUUUUUCACAGCAACCUUUCUGCUUCCGAACGAGGCGUCGCCAAGAAGCCGCCUCUCAGUUUUGGUUCAUUUUUCCUUUUUUUUUCUUUUUGAAAUGGGUUUCGUUUGUCCCCUUGGUGUAUUCUGACUCCAAAAUUUAGCAAAAAGACUGCAUAAUGGGAUAAA